Molecule: ribosomal RNA, 234 nt
Filed under: Triticum aestivum (bread wheat)
Lineage: Eukaryota; Viridiplantae; Streptophyta; Magnoliopsida; Poales; Poaceae
Description: partial small subunit ribosomal RNA
Source: RNAcentral
AUGGAUUGUAACCUAAAGAUUGUCUUCUGGAACAUGCGCGGUUUGAACUCACGAGCUAGGCGCAUGGAGGUUCGCUCUUUGAUCUCUUCCGUGUCCCCUUCGAUCGUCUAUUUGAGUGAGACCAAGCUCGCGGUAGUUGACUCGUCCAUCGUCACGGAUACCCUCAGGCCACUCUUUGAUCGUUUCUUAUUCCUUCCCACGUCCGGGACACGCGGCGGAAUUCUCAUGGCCUAG